RNAcentral lists this ribosomal RNA (253 nucleotides) under uncultured bacterium. Its description in RNAcentral is "partial 16S ribosomal RNA". It matches the Rfam family "Bacterial small subunit ribosomal RNA", at positions 524 to 776 of the family's 1533-position model. The record is from RNAcentral.
UACGUAGGUGGCAAGCGUUAUCCGGAUUUAUUGGGCGUAAAGAGAACGCAGGCGGUCUUUUAAGUCUGAUGUGAAAGCCUUCGGCUUAACCGGAGUAGUGCAUUGGAAACUGGGGGCCUUGAGUGGGCGAGAAGAAGGCGGAAUGCGUGGUGUAGCGGUGAAAUGCAUAGAUAUCACGCAGAACCCCGAUUGCGAAGGCAGCCUUCCGGCGCCCUACUGACGCUGAGGCACGAAAGUGCGGGGAUCGAACAGG